RNAcentral lists this transfer RNA (76 nucleotides) under Chitinophagaceae bacterium. Its description in RNAcentral is "tRNA-Lys". It matches the Rfam family "tRNA". From Rfam's summary of the family: Transfer RNA (tRNA) molecules are approximately 80 nucleotides in length. Their secondary structure includes four short double-helical elements and three loops (D, anti-codon, and T loops). The record is from RNAcentral. Lineage: Bacteria; Pseudomonadati; Bacteroidota; Chitinophagia; Chitinophagales; Chitinophagaceae.
GAUUCCUUCGGUUAGUUGGUAGAGCAUCCCGAUUUUUAAAUCGGGAGGGUCCUGGGUUCGAGUCCCAGCGGGAUCA